GACGAACGCUGGCGGCGUGCUUAACACAUGCAAGUCGAACGGAAAGGCCCUGCUUUUGUGGGGUGCUCGAGUGGCGAACGGGUGAGUAACACGUGAGUAACCUGCCCUUGACUUUGGGAUAACUUCAGGAAACUGGGGCUAAUACCGGAUAGGAGCUCCUGCUGCAUGGUGGGGGUUGGAAAGUUUCGGCGGUUGGGGAUGGACUCGCGGCUUAUCAGCUUGUUGGUGGGGUAGUGGCUUACCAAGGCUUUGACGGGUAGCCGGCCUGAGAGGGUGACCGGCCCAAAUGGGACUGAGAUACGGCCCAGACUCCUACGGGAGGCAGCAGUGGGGAAUAUUGCACAAUGGGCGGAAGCCUGAUGCAGCAACGCCGCGUGCGGGAUGACGGCCUUCGGGUUGUAAACCGCUUUCGCCUGUGACGAAGCGUGAGUGACGGUAAUGGGUAAAGAAGCACCGGCUAACUACGUG
RNAcentral lists this ribosomal RNA (468 nucleotides) under uncultured bacterium. RNAcentral's name for it is "partial 16S ribosomal RNA". It matches the Rfam family "Bacterial small subunit ribosomal RNA", at positions 28 to 507 of the family's 1533-position model. The record is from RNAcentral.